This 442-nucleotide ribosomal RNA is filed under the name uncultured bacterium. RNAcentral describes it as "partial 16S ribosomal RNA". It matches the Rfam family "Bacterial small subunit ribosomal RNA", at positions 338 to 795 of the family's 1533-position model. The record is from RNAcentral.
CCUACGGGUGGCAGCAGUGGGGAAUAUUGGGCAAUGGGCGCAAGCCUGACCCAGCAACGCCGCGUGAAGGAAGAAGGCUUUCGGGUUGUAAACUUCUUUUGUCAGGGAAGAGUAGAAGACGGUACCUGACGAAUAAGCCACGGCUAAAUACGUGCAAGCAGCCGCGGUAAUACGUAGGUGGCAAGCGGUGUCCGUAUUUACUGGGUGUAAAGGGCGUGUAGCCGGGUUGAAAAGUCAGAUGUGAAAUCGUGCGGCCUAACCGAAGAACUGCAUUUGAAACUGUUGAUCUUGAGUACUGGAGAGGCAGAUGGAAUUCCUAGUGUAGCGGUGAAAUGCGUAGAUAUUAGGAGGAACACCAGUGGCGAAGGCGGUCUGCUGGACAGCAACUGACGGUGAGGCGCGAAAGCGUGGGGAGCAAACAGGAUUAGAUACCCCGAUAGUC